UCGAUUGUCCCAGCCGCCGCGGUAAUACGGAGGGUGCAAGCGUUAAUCGGAAUUACUGAGCGUAAAGCGCACGCAGGCGGUCUGUCAAGUCGGAUGUGAAAUCCCCGGGCUCAACCUGGGAACUGCAUUCGAAACUGGCAGGCUAGAGUCUUGUAGAGGGGGGUAGAAUUCCAGGUGUAGCGGUGAAAUGCGUAGAGAUCUGGAGGAAUACCGGUGGCGAAGGCGGCCCCCUGGACAAAGACUGACGCUCAGGUGCGAAAGCGUGGGGAGCAAACAGGAUUAGAUACCCUGGUAGUCCACGCCGUAAACGAUGUCGAUUUGGAGGUUGUGCCCUUGAGGCGUGGCUUCCGGAGCUAACGCGUUAAAUCGACCGCCUGGGGAGUACGGCCGCAAGGUUAAAACUCAAAUGAAUUGACGGGGGCCCGCACAAGCGGUGGAGCAUGUGGUUUAAUUCGAUGCAACGCGAAGAACCUUACCUGGUCUUGACAUCCACAGAACUUUCCAGAGAUGGAUUGGUGCCUUCGGGAACUGUGAGACAGGUGCUGCAUGGCUGUCGUCAGCUCGUGUUGUGAAAUGUUGGGUUAAGUCCCGCAACGAGCGCAACCCUUAUCCUUUGUUGCCAGCGGUUAGGCCGGGAACUCAAAGGAGACUGCCAGUGAUAAACUGGAGGAAGGUGGGGAUGACGUCAAGUCAUCAUGGCCCUUACGACCAGGGCUAUACACGUGCUACAAUGGCAUAUACAAAGAGAAGCGACCUCGCGAGAGCAAGCGGACCUCAUAAAGUAUGUCGUAGUCCGGAUUGGAGUCUGCAACUCGACUCCAUGAAGUCGGAAUCGCUAGUAAUCGUAGAUCAGAAUGCUACGGUGAAUACGUUCCCGGGCCUUGUACACACCGCCCGUCACACCAUGGGAGUGGGUUGCAAAAGAAGUAGGUAGCUUAACCUUCGGGAGGGCGCUUACCACUUUGUGAUUCAUGACUGGGGUGAAGUCGUAACAAGGUAACC
Molecule: ribosomal RNA, 1002 nt
Filed under: uncultured Klebsiella sp.
Lineage: Bacteria; Pseudomonadati; Pseudomonadota; Gammaproteobacteria; Enterobacterales; Enterobacteriaceae
Description: bacterial SSU rRNA
Rfam family: Bacterial small subunit ribosomal RNA
Source: RNAcentral